UUAGCAAGCAUCAAUAGCAGUCUUCCACUAUCUGGGUUAGGAAAAGUUAAAAACCAGCGACAGGAAGUACUGCCAACCGGCAUUGACUUUGGCCUGCAGGAAAUGACAAGGACGAUGCUGGUCUUGAUCAAAUCUUCCUGUUGAUGGAAAAGUUUGAAGACACAUUGCCUGCAGCCUACUGUAGAAGUGAGGGCAGAGAGUUGGACAGACCUUCUACACCAGUCUUAGAAGAACCUGUAGGACAGAGAAGAAGAUUCCAGAUCAGACGUGACUU
Saccostrea cuccullata (small rock oyster) is the source of this 274-nucleotide long non-coding RNA. RefSeq lists it as uncharacterized. The record is from RefSeq and is a predicted model, not a curated record. Lineage: Eukaryota; Metazoa; Mollusca; Bivalvia; Ostreida; Ostreidae. The transcript has 3 exons.